CAGUAGCCGCGGUAAUACAGAGGGUGCGAGCGUUAAUCGGAUUUACUGGGCGUAAAGCGUGCGUAGGCGGCUUCUUAAGUCGGAUGUGAAAUCCCUGAGCUUAACUUAGGAAUUGCAUUCGAUACUGGGAAGCUAGAGUAUGGGAGAGGAUGGUAGAAUUCCAGGUGUAGCGGUGAAAUGCGUAGAGAUCUGGAGGAAUACCGAUGGCGAAGGCAGCCAUCUGGCCUAAUACUGACGCUGAGGUACGAAAGCAUGGGGAGCAAACAGGAUUAGAGACCCCCGUAGUCCCUGUCUCUUAUAU
RNAcentral lists this ribosomal RNA (301 nucleotides) under uncultured bacterium. RNAcentral's name for it is "partial 16S ribosomal RNA". It matches the Rfam family "Bacterial small subunit ribosomal RNA", at positions 509 to 809 of the family's 1533-position model. The record is from RNAcentral.